RNAcentral lists this non-coding RNA (28 nucleotides) under Rattus norvegicus (Norway rat). Lineage: Eukaryota; Metazoa; Chordata; Mammalia; Rodentia; Muridae. The record is from RNAcentral.
UAUGAUGAUGGUUUGGGGCUCACACAGA